GACGAACGCUGGCGGCGUGCUUAACACAUGCAAGUCGAGCGGUAAGGCCCUUUCGGGGGUACACGAGCGGCGAACGGGUGAGUAACACGUGGGUGACCUGCCCUUAGCUCUGGGAUAAGCCUGGGAAACUGGGUCUAAUACCGGAUAUGACUCCAUGACGCACGUUGUGGGGUGGAAAGCCUUGUGCGGCUAGGGAUGGGCCUGCGGCCUAUCAGCUUGUUGGUGGGGUGAUGGCCUACCAAGGCGACGACGGGUAGCCGGCCUGAGAGGGCGACCGGCCACACUGGGACUGAGACACGGCCCAGACUCCUACGGGAGGCAGCAGUGGGGAAUCUUGCGCAAUGGGCGAAAGCCUGACGCAGCGACGCCGCGUGGGGAUGACGGCCU
RNAcentral lists this ribosomal RNA (387 nucleotides) under uncultured bacterium. RNAcentral describes it as "bacterial SSU rRNA". It matches the Rfam family "Bacterial small subunit ribosomal RNA", at positions 28 to 417 of the family's 1533-position model. The record is from RNAcentral.